Molecule: ribosomal RNA, 894 nt
Filed under: Salmonella enterica
Lineage: Bacteria; Pseudomonadati; Pseudomonadota; Gammaproteobacteria; Enterobacterales; Enterobacteriaceae
Also listed under: 1 other name
Description: partial 23S ribosomal RNA
Rfam family: Bacterial large subunit ribosomal RNA
Source: RNAcentral
GCGGCCGUAACUAUAACGGUCCUAAGGUAGCGAAAUUCCUUGUCGGGUAAGUUCCGACCUGCACGAAUGGCGUAAUGAUGGCCAGGCUGUCUCCACCCGAGACUCAGUGAAAUUGAACUCGCUGUGAAGAUGCAGUGUACCCGCGGCAAGACGGAAAGACCCCGUGAACCUUUACUAUAGCUUGACACUGAACAUUGAGCCUUGAUGUGUAGGAUAGGUGGGAGGCUUUGAAGUGUGGACGCCAGUCUGCAUGGAGCCGACCUUGAAAUACCACCCUUUAAUGUUUGAUGUUCUAACGUGGACCCGUAAUCCGGGUUGCGGACAGUGUCUGGUGGGUAGUUUGACUGGGGCGGUCUCCUCCUAAAGAGUAACGGAGGAGCACGAAGGUUGGCUAAUCCUGGUCGGACAUCAGGAGGUUAGUGCAAUGGCAUAAGCCAGCUUGACUGCGAGCGUGACGGCGCGAGCAGGUGCGAAAGCAGGUCAUAGUGAUCCGGUGGUUCUGAAUGGAAGGGCCAUCGCUCAACGGAUAAAAGGUACUCCGGGGAUAACAGGCUGAUACCGCCCAAGAGUUCAUAUCGACGGCGGUGUUUGGCACCUCGAUGUCGGCUCAUCACAUCCUGGGGCUGAAGUAGGUCCCAAGGGUAUGGCUGUUCGCCAUUUAAAGUGGUACGCGAGCUGGGUUUAGAACGUCGUGAGACAGUUCGGUCCCUAUCUGCCGUGGGCGCUGGAGAACUGAGGGGGGCUGCUCCUAGUACGAGAGGACCGGAGUGGACGCAUCACUGGUGUUCGGGUUGUCAUGCCAAUGGCACUGCCCGGUAGCUAAAUGCGGAAGAGAUAAGUGCUGAAAGCAUCUAAGCACGAAACUUGCCCCGAGAUGAGUUCUCCCUGAGACUU